CCCGCUGAACUUAAGCAUAUCAAUAAGCGGAGGAAAAGAAACCAACAGGGAUUGCCUCAGUAACGGCGAGUGAAGCGGCAACAGCUCAAAUUUGAAAUCUGCCUCUAUGCCGAGUUGUAAUUUGUAGAAGAUGCUUCGGGUGUGGCACUGGUCUAAGUUCCUUGGAACAGGACGUCAUAGAGGGUGAGAAUCCUGUAUGUGACUGGCGGCCUUUGCCCAUGUGAAGCUCUUUCGACGAGUCGAGUUGUUUGGAGAUGCAGCUCAAAAUGGGUGGUAUAUUUCAUCUAAAGCUAAAUAUAGGCCAGAGACCGAUAGCGCACAAGUAGAGUGAUCGAAAGAUGAAAAGCACUUUGGAAAGAGAGUUAAACAGUACGUGAAAUUGUUGAAAGGGAAGCGCUUGCAAUCAGACUUGCGCGCCGUCGAUCAUCCGAGGUUUUCCCCGGUGCACUCGGCGGUGCUCAGGCCAGCAUCGGUUUCGGUGGUUAGAUAAAGGCCUUGGGAUCUGUGGCUCCUCCGGGAGUGUUAUAGCCCUCGGUGCAAUGUAGCCUACUGGGACCGAGGACCGCGCUUCGGCUAGGAUGCUGGCGUAAUGGUUGUAAGCGACCCGUCUUGAAACACGG
This 620-nucleotide ribosomal RNA is filed under the name uncultured fungus. RNAcentral's name for it is "eukaryotic LSU rRNA". It matches the Rfam family "Eukaryotic large subunit ribosomal RNA", at positions 24 to 664 of the family's 3401-position model. The record is from RNAcentral. Lineage: Eukaryota; Fungi.